CUAUUUUCAUGGAUUACAAUCUUAUUGUUUUGCUUUGUCUAUUUGUCUCUGACAUCAUGAAUCAUAAAGUUUGUAUCAAUUGCAACUCAUUGUUCUGGAUUACUUUGACAGUUGAUCCGAAUACGUUGCCCGUCCAAGAUACUGUUUGCUCCUUCACGUCUUCUUUCAGAGAUAUUGUUUGCUGUUCUUUAUUGCUUUCUUCCCGCACGUGGUCGAUUCCUACAGUGCCUUCGACUUCACCGUCGCAGUCUGAUCAUUUGGCUUCUUCACAAUUUGGUUUUGUUGGGAUUGUAUGCGGAGCUGUUGGGAUUGUAUGCGGAGCUGUUGGCAGAAUUUUGUUUGAGAGAUUUGGUUGGUGACGAAGAAUUCUUGCCUAUUAAAGAAAGCUCAGUGGAUUUGGUUAUUAGUUGCUUGGGCCUUCACUGGACUAAUGAUCUUCCAGGAGCAAUGAUACAAUCUAUGUUGGCAUUAAAGCCAGAUGGCCUGUUUUUAGCAGCUAUCCUCGGAGGAGAAACAUUAAGGGAACUCAGAAUAGCUUGUACUGUAGCACAAAUGGAACGCGAAGGAGGGAUCAGUCCCCGAGUUUCACCUUUAGUACAGGAUCCUUGAUUCCUCUCUCACUGCAUCUGCUUCUCUAGAGUGUUCGCUGAGGAUGGCGUUCAUAUCAUCUCAGGUCAUAAAGGAUGCAACUCAUGGAAGUGAACCUGGAAAAACAAUAUCACUCUAAGUUUUUAAUGCGUUGAUUUGUAUAGAUCAUGAGCGAUAUUUGAUAGAAUUAUUUGAGAAGUAUUUGAGAAGUAUGUGAUUUCUUAUUUUGUUGAUGACUUUUCUAUUGAAAAGUUCUAUCUAUUCAUUGUAUUUACUUAUGUUUUUGUUUUAUAUGAUUGACAAGACAUUAUUCAAUGUUCAUA
Molecule: long non-coding RNA, 911 nt
Organism: Vicia villosa (hairy vetch)
Lineage: Eukaryota; Viridiplantae; Streptophyta; Magnoliopsida; Fabales; Fabaceae
Exons: 7
Source: RefSeq, a predicted model, not a curated record